Molecule: ribosomal RNA, 210 nt
Filed under: uncultured bacterium
Lineage: Bacteria
Description: partial 16S ribosomal RNA
Rfam family: Bacterial small subunit ribosomal RNA
Source: RNAcentral
GUUCAGAUUGUAGGCUGAAACUCGCCUAUAUGAAGUCGGAAUUGCUAGUAAUCGCGGAUCAGCAUGCCGCGGUGAAUACGUUCCCGGGCCUUGUACACACCGCCCGUCACACCAUGAGAGUCGAUAACACCCGAAGCCUGUAGCCUAACAGCAAUGAGGACGCAGUCGAAGGUGGGAUUGAUAAUUAGGGUGAAGUCGUAACAAGGUACC